UUCCGGUUGAUCCUGCCGGACCUGACUGCUAUCGGAUUGGUACUAAGCCAUGCGAGUCAUUGUAGCAAUACAAGGCGGACGGCUCAGUAACACGUAGUCAACCUAACUCGUGGACGUGGAUAACCUCGGGAAACUGAGAAUAAACCACGAUAGAUCAUAGUGCCUGGAAUGGCUUAUGGUCCAAACAGUUUACUGCCAUGGGAUGGGACUGCGGCCUAUCAGCUUGUUGGUGAGGUAAUGGCCCACCAAGGCGAUUACAGGUACGGGCUCUGAGAGGAGAAGCCCGGAGAUGGGUACUGAGACACGGACCCAGGCCCUAUGGGGCGCAGCAGGCGAGAAACCUUAGCAAUGUGCGAAAGCACGACUGGGCCAGUCCGAGUGAUUCCUGAUAAAGGAGUCUUUUGCCUGUCCUAAAAGCACAGGUGAAUAAGGGGUGGGCAAGUCUGGUGUCAGCCGCCGCGGUAAUACCAGCACCUCGAGUGGUCAGGACGUUUAUUGGGCCUAAAGCAUCCGUAGCCGGCUUUGCAAGUCUUCGGUUAAAUCCACCUGCUCAACAGAUGGGCCGCUGGAGAUACUACAGAGCUAGGGAGUGGGAGAGGCAGACGGUAUUCAGUGGGUAGGGGUAAAAUCCUCUGAUCCAUUGAGGACCACCAGUGGCGAAGGCGGUCUGCCAGAACACGUUCGACGGUGAGGGAUGAAAGCUGGGGGAGCAAACCGGAUUAGAUACCCGGGUAGUCCCAGCUGUAAACGAUGCAAACUCGGUGAUGCAUUGGCUUAUGGCCAAUGCAGUGCCGCAGGGAAGCCGUUAAGUUUGCCGCCUGGGAAGUACGGACGCAAGUCUGAAACUUAAAGGAAUUGGCGGGGGAGCACCACAAGGGGUGAAGCCUGCGGUUCAAUUGGAGUCAACGCCGGA
RNAcentral lists this ribosomal RNA (913 nucleotides) under uncultured archaeon. RNAcentral describes it as "bacterial SSU rRNA". It matches the Rfam family "Archaeal small subunit ribosomal RNA", at positions 1 to 922 of the family's 1478-position model. The record is from RNAcentral.